AGGGGUGGAUACAUACGGAGAAGAGGGAGAGAGAGGUAGAGGAGGAAGAAGAGGAGAACCUUCUACACUUCACUUCUGCGUCAGCCACUGCUAACCUCCUCGGCUAGCUAGCUAUUCAUCAUCUUGGCCGCCAUGCUUCGCCUUCGCUAGCUCCUCAGGUCAACUCGCCGCCGUCUGUAUUCUUGUUCCCGCUCGGCAGCCAUAUGGUAGCAUCCAAGACAGGGCCCAGGCUUCAAGGAGAUGGGCAGCAGAUGAUAAAUUAUAACACCAAUUUUACCUUAUCGUUGCCUGACAAAAACCAGCUUCCGCAUUAUAGCACAAGGACCCUAGGAUAGGGCAUGGAUCCAAAUGGAGUUUAGUAACCAGAUCUCCCAGAGAGGCACCGGGUAUUGAUGCAGGUGAGUAAUACAACAGUGCCAAUGCUGUGCUGGUAAUGUAGUUUAAUUAACCGAGCAACAAAUUUGAUCGUGUCUAGCUGAUAAGUUGGGCUAUUCGUUCUUUCUUCUAUUGUCACAGAGGUUUUGCUAGUAACCAUUUCUCAGCAUGCAACUAUGACAAUAUAUAUGUGGCCGUACGUAGUAGCACCUAGCUAGCUGUCAAGUGUCCAUGGCGGAUUGGUGUUAUCUUUGAACUCUUUCUCUUCGCUUGAUUGAACAGACUGAGCUCUUGCCGUAUGUUUCCAAAUAAUAAUAGUAGUAGUAGUAAUGCGAGGGUUGCAUCGUGACGGUGAUGUUGCUCCAAUAAGUUUGUAUAAAAGAGUUCAUCGUAUUCAUCGCUGUUAAUAGUAGCUAGAUGACCUCUGUAGGAAUGGACCAAUUUGGUUCCAUUGUUUUUACAGCUCACCAUGAUCGGUAUUAAUUUCCACAUAAUUCGUUCUAUUGACUUUGCAUAUUGAAUUGCUUAAUCUGCUGAUAACUUGUUGGAGCUCUCCUCAGUGUUCAAUAAUGCAAGUUGAGUGGUUGAGCAGUUACUUAUGUUGUUUUCAUUGCCCAGACCGGUUAAUUUGGGCAUUUUCUGUUAGAUCUUCAGCAACUCAAUGUUUUUCGAUAAACAUGUUACUUACACCCUCAGGCUCCAGCGUGCAUAUCCACAGAAAAGGGCUUGAUUUCAAGAAUUUGUUUUUUUUAGCAGCGGACAUAUAUAUAUGUGGUGGUCAGCAUACACAGUACAUGGACCAGCUGUCUCUUAAAUCUUAGACACAAACCACAGUGCUAUGUGUGUACCAGCUAGCGUACCAUGAUAAAAAGAAAACAUUUUGCAAAUUAAAGUCUUAGAAUAAAAACAAAAAUGAUAGAAAGGACAUAUAUUUUAGUGACUGGGGCCACUGGGCAUGGCUUAGUACUGAACAGUUGAAUAAGACCAAUUAGCAUCACUUGUUUUCUUUUGUGUGUGUGUCGUUUGUUAGCUGGUACGGGCAUCUGAGUGGUGAGGAUUUUCUAACCGGCCGGACUUCAUCACGGGUAUCUAUCUAGUACUGCAGUGCAGUGGAUGUGGAGGUCAUGCACAUGGCCGUGCUUCGAGUCCGGAGCGUCCAGCUCCUCGGAGGUCAACUGUACUCUCCCGGCAUGCUGCCGCCGGCCGGCCGGCCGGACCUGGACAGCCUCCGCGCAACCGCGAGGAGCUCUCGAUCGGCCCCACGCAACUUGAGCACAUGCCGCACGCAACGCGCUCCGUUUUGCGAUGCUUCAAGGUACUAGACUUUGUUGAAGACUUCAAGUUGGUUUGCUAGCUGAAAGUCUGAAACCACGGCGUUGCCUACAUGCUAACAAUGUCUAGAUUUGCAAUAUAACACCAUGUGUGGUUCGCUUUUUUUUUUCUUGGAGAAAGAUCGCCAUGAUUCUUUGCUUGGUUUGUUGCUCUCUCUCUCUCUCUCUCUCUCUCUCUCUUAUUUUUCUUUUUUUAGAAGAUAGAUUAGUAAGGUAGCAGGGUCGCUCGGCAGGAGCCACAGACUCUUUUAAGAAUUUCUUUCCUCAGUACAAGCCAAGUUUUCAUCUCUAUCCGGAAAUGGACCAGUCAAUGUAGGAAAAGUGACGAGUAACGGAGGAGGAGGACGACGACUCAAUCAACCAAAGGGAUAAGGUUCACUAAGUCCAUUGAAAAGUAUAGUAUGUACUAACUCACUGUACAGAGCUUUGUGAGAUGAGAACAAUUAGAUUGGCUUGAUUAGUCCGGCCGUACGUAGAAAUGCGCGUACCAGUAUACAGUGUUAAAAGGUAAUUUUGGCGCGUUAAUUAUUGCCAGGAGAGAAAAUUAAGACGCCAAGGCCAGGAUAACUAAGCUGCUAACACUUGGACUCAUUUUUACUCCGAUCCGUUCGCCGAUGGACCGAAUCAUUUUCUCAGCUCAACUAAUUCCCUCCAUUUCCCAUUCGAAAAAAAAAGCUUCCAUUUCUGACAGAUGGUUACGUACCAAUGGUUGGGGGUCGUUGACAUCUCUGGUCCUACCGGUCUACGUCUCUGAACCAUGAGUCCCUGAAGGCUUACGGAUCUCUGUGUUCUGAAACUCUUGAGAGCCUUAGCUUUCUGGAGCCUUAGUUCUCUGAGCUUAGGUAGGCUCUUCGAAGCACGAAGAUGAUUUAUCAGAUCUUGAGGAAAGAUCAGUCUGAGGGGAUCCAUUAGCUGUUUUCCAUUUGUAAGGAACUUACUAGCAUUUAUUAAUAAGUGUUGAUCAUUCUAAUAUCCUACGCAAGUAGAAGACAGACUGACACAUUGAACAGUGCAGAGUCAUAAUAAGCAACCGACUGAGUACCACGCCCUUAGGAUUACUUGCCCCACUGUAUUGCUAUAGUAGAUAAUAUCUUCUGAUUAGGGGUAAAUGCAUACUAACUAGACUCAUGUUAUGUGAUUCGAUCGAUCUUGAGUCUAUGUGGUAUAAUGAUAGUUUGUACGUUAUCUUUGUAAGAUCAUGCUUGCACAUUUUCACCCUGAACAACACUAUAAAUACAGACACAUGACCCUCAAAUCAGAGAACUAAUCUUUUUUAAUAUCAAUAAAUCUUUGGUUCUUCAUUCUCUCUACUUUUCUCCAAGCUUAAAUCUCCUCUCUAAAAGAGAUUCUCGUCGUAAUUUAUUCAUGAAAGAUAUUUUCUUUUCUAUCAACACUAAUCAUAUAUAGCAGUGAUGAAAUGGCAAAACAAAAGAUUAAGCUAUAUGCGGUUACGUCAUCCCCACGCAAGGCAACCACCGCCUCCGCCUCCGCGUUGCGAGCCCUUUAUUCACUCUGCGCAUCCGCCAAUAUUGACUCCUCUCUCCUUCCCACCGAGCUCGAUCCAUCGCAGGCAGACUCGCAGUGCAGAGAUUAGCCCACUGGGAGCAGCGAUGGCGUCCUUCCGUUAUCUUUAGUACUAAAACCCCAACGAUCGCGUCGUCACCGAUCUGUUCGUCCGUGCUAGCUGCUGGAUUCGGUCGAGAUCUGAGAUCGAUCGAUCUGAGAGAACGAAGAAGGGAACCAGGGCAUAUCCAUCUACGUCGUACGUGAUUGAGAGGCUACAGCUUCACGAAGCUCAUCGAUCGAUCGAUGGCGAAGGGCAUGGUGGACAUGGAGAAGCAGGCGUUCGACGACGGGAUGGACGCUCAUGAGCCGAAGGUGAAACCUUUGAAGAAUUUCAUAAGGACAACUUCCCCGAGGAUGAUGCCGAGUUCUAGGCUUGUGGAACUCUCGGUCGGCUGCCUGUUGGCUUGGAGCUGCGCUGUUCUCUCUUUUUUCUUUCUUUCUUCCGCUGUGGUGUUCUUUUCUUUAGACCCGUGUGUGGUCAUUUUAUAAUAAUUUAGCGUUGUAAUAAGAAACAUUGUGUCUGUUACACUAAUGAAGUCGCUAUAUGUAUGAAUAACUCAUCCUGUCAUACAUAUAGUUUACAUCUGGUUUUGGUCUUAAAA
Phragmites australis (common reed) is the source of this 3874-nucleotide RNA transcript. RefSeq lists it as uncharacterized. The record is from RefSeq and is a predicted model, not a curated record. The transcript has 6 exons. Lineage: Eukaryota; Viridiplantae; Streptophyta; Magnoliopsida; Poales; Poaceae.